AGAAGGAGAAGAGGAAGAGGAGGAUGACGAGGAUGCAGAAGAGUUUGAUGAUGAUGAUGAAGAUGAAGAAGAUGUAGAAGGAGAAGAGGAUGAAGAUGAUGUCAGUGGCGAAGAGGAGGAAGAAGAGUUUGGACCUGAUGGCGAAGUAGACGAGGAAGAAGAGGAGGAUGAGGAAGAUGAGGAAGGGGGUGGAAAAGGUGAAAAAAGAAAACGAGAGACAGAUGAUGACGGUGAUGAGGAUGACAGCUAAAUUAAUACCCCCGUGUCAUGAAUUAUCUCCACGGACUGUUUAACAUUGUUUGGACUUGCCCCAUGAAUAAACACAUGGUGGAGCUUACAUGUACGCACUCUGAAUGCAAAUGCAUAAGCAGGUUUGUGAACAAAAGUGAGCCAAAGAGUUGCGUUCUGCAAGACAUUCCACAUUUCUGCCAUUUGGUCCCUAAUAAAAAUCCACCAUGAGAUAAAAUGAGGUUUGGGGGCUAAAACUGGGUCAGUGCUUUUACUAUUGUGUUUGGGGUUCUUAGGUUUUUCCCUGUAAAACUUGCUAUAGCAACAUGAAAUGUAAUGGGUUAGUCAUGAUUGUCAAUGGCUGCCUAUUACACAGAGGUUGUAGCAGCAUUUUUACUUUCUGUAUGACGAAAAAAGCUUUGUAAAUAAAAUCUUAAAUUUUG
This is a long non-coding RNA of Protopterus annectens (West African lungfish), 671 nucleotides long. RefSeq lists it as uncharacterized. NCBI's taxonomy places the organism in Eukaryota, Metazoa, Chordata, Ceratodontiformes, Protopteridae. The transcript is spliced from 3 exons. The record is from RefSeq and is a predicted model, not a curated record.